Molecule: ribosomal RNA, 502 nt
Filed under: uncultured bacterium
Lineage: Bacteria
Description: bacterial SSU rRNA
Rfam family: Bacterial small subunit ribosomal RNA
Source: RNAcentral
GGGGAAAGCGUGAUCCAGCCAUGCCGCGUGAGUGAAGAAGGCCUUCGGGUUGUAAAGCUCUUUCAGGUGGAAAGAAAUCGGAUGGGUUAAUACCCUGUCAGGAUGACGGUACCACCAGAAGAAGCACCGGCUAACUACGUGCCAGCAGCCGCGGUAAUACGUAGGGUGCGAGCGUUAAUCGGAAUUACUGGGCGUAAAGCGUGCGCAGGCGGUUGUGUAAGACAGGUGUGAAAUCCCCGGGCUUAACCUGGGAAAUGCGCUUGUGACUGCACAGCUAGAGUGUGGCAGAGGGGGGUGGAAUUCCACGUGUAGCAGUGAAAUGUGUAGAGAUGUGGAGGAAUACCGAUGGGGAAGGCAGCCCCCUGGGCCUGUACUGACGCUCAUGCACGAAAGCGUGGGGAGCAAACAGGAUUAGAUACCCUGGUAGUCCACGCCCUAAACGAUGUCAACUAGUUGUUUGGAAGGGAAACCUUSUGAGURACGCAGCUAACGCGUGAAGUGA